GAUGAACGCUGACAGAAUGCUUAACACAUGCAAGUCAACUUGAACUUCGGUUUGGGUGGCGGACGGGUGAGUAACGCGUAAAGAACUUGCCUCACAGAUAGGGACAACAUUUGGAAACGAAUGCUAAUACCUGAUAUUAUGAUUAUAUGGCAUCGUAUAAUUAUGAAAGCUAUAUGCGCUGUGAGAGAGCUUUGCGUCCCAUUGGCUAGUUGGAGAGGUAACGGCUCACCAAGGCGAUGAUGGGUAGCCGGCCUGAGAGGGUGAUCGGCCACAAGGGGACUGAGACACGGCCCUUACUCCUACGGGAGGCAACAGUGGGGAAUAUUGGACAAUGGACCAAGAGUCUGAUCCAGCAAUUCUGUGUGCACGAUGAAGUUUUUCGGAAUGUAAAGUGCUUUCAGUUGGGAAGAAAAAAAUGACGGUACCAACAGAAGAAGUGACGGCUAAAUACGUG
RNAcentral lists this ribosomal RNA (454 nucleotides) under uncultured bacterium. RNAcentral describes it as "partial 16S ribosomal RNA". It matches the Rfam family "Bacterial small subunit ribosomal RNA", at positions 28 to 507 of the family's 1533-position model. The record is from RNAcentral.